Molecule: long non-coding RNA, 624 nt
Filed under: Homo sapiens (human)
Lineage: Eukaryota; Metazoa; Chordata; Mammalia; Primates; Hominidae
Description: HSALNT0208378
Source: RNAcentral
GGGGACUCUCCGGAUGGGAGACUGGACGCUUCGCCGAGGGUGGGCUAGGAACGCCGAGAGUCAGCCCCAGGGAGCGCCAGGGAACUGCACCUGUCACCGAAGGGCGGGACGGGCGGCUCCGGGACAGGAAGGUCCCGACCGGGUGAGGCGAGGCAGGCAGCGGAGGAUGCUCCGGGGACAGCGAUGCCCGGACUGGAAUGCAGGGGCUGCCUUGGAGCCAGGAUGCAUGGGGGGAGGCCUUUACCCAAGGCCACAACAACAGCAGGAAUCCCGAGUAAGACACCACCUUGACGGCAGGGAAGGCUGGAUCUUUUCACAGGGCAGAACUGAUUUGAUGAGGUGAACAGUAAGGUGAGCAGAGGCGGGACGGGGUUCCUCCACCCACCAUCACUGUUUCCCCAGUGAGGUAGCUGGCAUCUUCAGAGCACAGGAAAGACACGAUGCCAAGAGAAUCCUCUGGCUCGCCUAACCUGGGGAAUAGGGGAAGCAAGGAAGGGAGUAAAAAUCAAACAGGUCUGCCUCCCUCACCUGGGACACGGGGAAUGAAAUUUGCUUAAUCAAGAAUUAUCAGAUAACUUUUCAGGAUCAGUGUACAAACUUUCCGCCUAUCAAAUAGGGUUACCA